RNAcentral lists this ribosomal RNA (210 nucleotides) under uncultured bacterium. RNAcentral describes it as "partial 16S ribosomal RNA". It matches the Rfam family "Bacterial small subunit ribosomal RNA", at positions 524 to 732 of the family's 1533-position model. The record is from RNAcentral.
CACGUAGGGUGCGAGCGUUGUCCGGAAUUAUUGGGCGUAAAGAGCUCGUAGGCGGUGUGUCGCGUCGGCCGUGAAAACCUGCAGCUUAACUGUGGGCUUGCGGUCGAUACGGGCAUCACUGGAGUUCGGCAGGGGAGACUGGAAUUCCUGAUGUAGCGGUGAAAUGCGCAGAUAUCAGGAGGAACACCGAUGGCGAAGGCAGGUCUCUGG